Molecule: unclassified non-coding RNA, 348 nt
Filed under: soil metagenome
Description: partial contains 5.8S ribosomal RNA, internal transcribed spacer 2, and large subunit ribosomal RNA
Rfam family: 5.8S ribosomal RNA (bases 1-120)
Source: RNAcentral
GAUGAAGAACGCAGCAAAAUGCGAUAAGUAAUGUGAAUUGCAGAAUUCAGUGAAUCAUCGAAUCUUUGAACGCACAUUGCGCCCGCCAGUACUCUGGCGGGCAUGCCUGUCCGAGCGUCAUUUCAACCCUCAGGGCCCUCCAGCAGGGCGCUGGUGUUGGGGAUCGGCAGUCCCAGCGGCUGCCGUCCCUGAAAUGUAGUGGCGGUCCCACCGUGACCUCCCCUGUGCAGUGCAUCGCUCGCAGAGGGACAGCGGUGCGGCCACGCCGUAAAACGCCCAACUCUUCAAGGUUGACCUCGGAUCAGGUAGGACUACCCGCUGAACUUAAGCAUAUCAAUAAGCGGAGGA